Molecule: transfer RNA, 72 nt
Filed under: Capra hircus (goat)
Lineage: Eukaryota; Metazoa; Chordata; Mammalia; Artiodactyla; Bovidae
Also listed under: 1 other name
Rfam family: tRNA
About the family: Transfer RNA (tRNA) molecules are approximately 80 nucleotides in length. Their secondary structure includes four short double-helical elements and three loops (D, anti-codon, and T loops).
Source: Rfam by way of RNAcentral
UCCCUGGUGGCUCAGACAGUAAAGCGUCUGCCUACAAUGCGGGAGGCCCAGGUUCAAUCCCUGGGUUGGGAA